AAAUCAUUAGCUGACAGAAAUAUAGUGAGAGUCUGGUUCGUGACGUCACAGACUAACCCAAACAUUAGUUCCCUUCACCGCGUCUGCCUCGUCUGAUUAGACACACGGCAACAUGCGUGCUAAGUGGAGAAAGAAGCGUAUGCGUAGGCUUAAGCGUAAGCGCAGGAAGAUGCGUGCGAGGUCGAAGUAGACUGCUCUCCCUUUUUAGUUAGCAGCAGUGGACCAACUGUGAAGCUGCAGUACUUUUUAAGGUAUCACUCAAUAAAUGUGGGAGAGGUAAA
Molecule: long non-coding RNA, 281 nt
Organism: Macrobrachium nipponense
Lineage: Eukaryota; Metazoa; Arthropoda; Malacostraca; Decapoda; Palaemonidae
Exons: 4
Source: RefSeq, a predicted model, not a curated record